RNAcentral lists this ribosomal RNA (169 nucleotides) under uncultured bacterium. RNAcentral's name for it is "partial 16S ribosomal RNA". It matches the Rfam family "Bacterial small subunit ribosomal RNA", at positions 338 to 524 of the family's 1533-position model. The record is from RNAcentral.
CCUACGGGAGGCAGCAGUGGGGAAUAUUGCACAAUGGGGGAAACCCUGAUGCAGCAACGCCGCGUGAGUGAUGACGGCCUUCGGAUUGUAAAGCUCUGUCUUCAGGGACGAUAAUGACGGUACCUGAGGAGGAAGCCACGGCUAACUACGUGCCAGCAGCCGCGGUAAU